UGUGAUAAAGUCUUGCAUUGUGAGUGCCCUUAUUACCAACUCUCUACAAGUCUUGAAAUUAAAUGCUUUUAAAAAUAUAAAAUAAAACUUUUCAUUAAGUGUGGGUGUUUUAUCUCAGUUUUAUUUUAUUUCUUAUGACAUAGCGCGUCUUGAAAAUAACGUGAUGACACUCACCAUUAAGACUGACCUCAUUGAGUUUAAGUACUUGACUCAACUUAACACAGGUGCUCUCUUUUUUUUUAUUUUUUUUCAACAUUUAGUGACAUUGUUCUUUUCGUGAUAUAGUUGUUCAAAGUCGCCCAUGAAGAUAGAAUUUAAGAGCAUCUCCAAGAGUCUUUGCAAAUCUUAUUCUCUAAAACAAUCAUUUAGAGAAUCAUUUCCAUAAAAAUUGAUUUCUAUAUUUUUUCACUCUCCAAUAGUUUUUCUAUCUCUGAUGUGCACUCCAGAGAGUCAUUCUCGUCUUCUAUUUUUGGCUAGCGAAAAAUCUAAAAUAGAAGACGGUUAUAUUUGGAUAACCAUUUAGACAAGCUGUUGCAAGGUAAUUUUUCACCAAAAUCUCUAUUCCUAGAAUUUAGAAAGAAUUUAGAGAGUCUAACAUCAUUAUUUUUUUUCUAGUCGUCUUUCAGAGGGGCUCAUAAGAAAGUAUGUCUAUCAAUUGUGAUUGAAAAAAAAAGACAAAGUAAUUAGCAAGAGGUUUGAAUUUACGCUAGAUCAAACGAGAAGGUUGAAACUUAUUAGAAACAGAAAGAUGAAUAUUUGACUACUAUUAAUCAAAUAUGUACUUUUAAAGUGUGGAUCAGAACGAUGUCUAAGUAGGUCACUAAAAAAAGAUCUAAAUACAAAUGGAGUAGGUCAUCCUUUUUAAAUAAAUACAUCAUUAUUGGUCACGAGGUGUGGUGCUAUUAGCAACACUCGUGGGUCCGUCUGCGGGCAGACGAUAGCGGUGUGCACGCUGCCAGUAGACGACAGCGGCACAUAGGGCUAUGGACGAGCCGCGAUGCAUG
Molecule: long non-coding RNA, 1004 nt
Filed under: Sorghum bicolor (sorghum)
Lineage: Eukaryota; Viridiplantae; Streptophyta; Magnoliopsida; Poales; Poaceae
Description: long non-coding RNA (SBIC_LNC006302)
Source: RNAcentral